GACGAACGCUGGCGGCGCGCCUAACACAUGCAAGUCGAACGAGAGAUGAGGAGCUUGCUCUUCAAAUCGAGUGGCGAACGGGUGAGUAACGCGUGAGGAACCUGCCUCAAAGAGGGGGACAACAGUUGGAAACGACUGCUAAUACCGCAUAAGCCCACGGCUCGGCAUCGAGCAGAGGGAAAAGGAGUGAUCCGCUUUGAGAUGGCCUCGCGUCCGAUUAGCUAGUUGGUGAGGUAACGGCCCACCAAGACAUCGAUGGAUAGGGGUUCUGAGAGGAAGGUCCCCCACAUUGGAACUGAGACACGGUCCAAACUCCUACGGGAGGCAGCAGUGAGGAAUAUUGGUCAAUGGACGAGAGUCUGAACCAGCCAAGUAGCGUGAAGGAUGACUGCCCUAUGGGUUGUAAACUUCUUUUAUAUGGGAAUAAAGUGAGCCACGUGUGGCUUUUUGUAUGUACCAUACGAAUAAGGAUCGGCUAACUCCGUGCCAGCAGCCGCGGUAAUACGGAGGAUCCGAGCGUUAUCCGGAUUUAUUGGGUUUAAAGGGAGCGUAGGCGGACUAUUAAGUCAGCUGUGAAAGUUUGCGGCUCAACCGUAAAAUUGCAGUUGAUACUGGUCGUCUUGAGUGCAGUAGAGGUAGGCGGAAUUCGUGGUGUAGCGGUGAAAUGCUUAGAUAUCACGAAGAACUCCGAUUGCGAAGGCAGCUUACUGGACUGUAACUGACGCUGAUGCUCGAAAGUGUGGGUAUCAAACAGGAUUAGAUACCCUGGUAGUCCACACAGUAAACGAGGAAUAAUUGCUGUUUGCGAUAUACGGCAAGCGGCCAAGCGAAAGCAUUAAGUAUUCCUCCUGGGGAGUACGCCGGCAACGGGGAAACUCAAAGGAAAUAGACGGGGGCCCGCACAAGCGGAGGAACAUGUGGUUUAAUUUGAUGAUACGCGAGGAACCUUACCCGGGCUUAAAUUGCAUCUGAAUAAUUUGGAAACAGAUUAGCCGUAAGGCAGAUGUGAAGGUGCUGCAUGGUUGUCGUCAGCUCGUGCCGUGAGGUGUCGGCUUAAGUGCCAUAACGAGCGCAACCCUUAUCUUUAGUUACUAACAGGUCAUGCUGAGGACUCUAGAGAGACUGCCGUCGUAAGAUGUGAGGAAGGUGGGGAUGACGUCAAAUCAGCACGGCCCUUACGUCCGGGGCUACACACGUGUUACAAUGGGGGGUACAGAAGGCAGCUACACAGCGAUGUGAUGCUAAUCCCAAAAGCCUCUCUCAGUUCGGAUUAGAGUCUGCAACCCGACUCCAUGAAGCUGGAUUCGCUAGUAAUCGCGCAUCAGCCACGGCGCGGUGAAUAAGUUCCCGGGCCUUGCACA
This 1361-nucleotide ribosomal RNA is filed under the name uncultured bacterium. RNAcentral's name for it is "bacterial SSU rRNA". It matches the Rfam family "Bacterial small subunit ribosomal RNA", at positions 28 to 1387 of the family's 1533-position model. The record is from RNAcentral.